RNAcentral lists this long non-coding RNA (774 nucleotides) under Lathyrus oleraceus (garden pea). RNAcentral describes it as "Pisum sativum (pea) long non-coding RNA (PSAT_LNC023426)". Lineage: Eukaryota; Viridiplantae; Streptophyta; Magnoliopsida; Fabales; Fabaceae. The record is from RNAcentral.
AAAAUUAAAGUAAAGGAAAUAUGCAUAAAGUAAAGAGAUAAGAGAAAAGAGAUGACACGAGGAUUUAUAGAGGUUCAGUCUAAAUGAAGUGACCUACUCAUCUCCCCAAGAUUUGAAUUUUAGAGUAUCCAAUAAUGAUUAUGAAAUUUUUUUAACUCACAAACCCCAUUAUACAAGGAAAAAUGAAGUUUCAGGUUUACUUCCAACCAAACAAGGAACAACAGACUGGAGAGAUUAACCUUCAUUCUAAACAUGAACAAAGCUUCGAGCAAUUAGUCCCCCAAAUAAACCAAUAUUUUAUACAAACUUAUCUCGAACCAAUGCGGAGUUUUGAACUAGCUAUCCUCCAAAUCUAACCGGUAUUUCACAUGUGCUAACCACGAACCGAAUCGAGAUUUUUUUACACCAGGCUAAUCUCGAACCAAGUUGAGGUUUUACACCAGGCUGAACUCAAGAACAAAGAAGAAUACUUUUCACUAGUAUAUUCGAGAACCCAAAGAGAUAACUUUUCCUUAAGUGGUUCAACUCACAAGUCAAACAAUGGCUUAAUACUAAAUCCUCCAAACAAAGAUUUAAGAGGUUUAGAUUUGAACCUAAACAAACACUUCCUAAGGAAGAGAUGUCCACUCAAGAGAAAAAGACUCUUUGUGAAUUUACAAUAUUACUCUUUCUAGAACAAAUUUUUUCACUUAAACACAAAGACUUUCUCAAAGCGUUGUGGCUAAAUUGAUUUGAGAGAAAGUAGAAAAAUGUUUCAUAUAGAGAGUGAGAAAA